AGCAAAAAGAAGCCAGGGACAGUGCUCAGGCCCUGACAGAGGCCAGCCAGCCCAGGCUACAAACCAAACAAGACCCCAUUUCAAACAAAACCAAGACUCAGACCUCCAUAAUCUUCCCAAAUACCACAUUUUCCUAGAUCUCUCAAGUAAUGAAUGUCAUCAUGGA
This is a long non-coding RNA of Perognathus longimembris pacificus (Pacific pocket mouse), 166 nucleotides long. RefSeq lists it as uncharacterized. The transcript has 3 exons. The record is from RefSeq and is a predicted model, not a curated record. NCBI's taxonomy places the organism in Eukaryota, Metazoa, Chordata, Mammalia, Rodentia, Heteromyidae.